AGUCGAGCGGGGAAGGGUAGCUUGCUACCUAACCUAGCGGCGGACGGGUGAGUAAUGCUUAGGAAUCUGCCUAUUAGUGGGGGACAACAUUCCGAAAGGAAUGCUAAUACCGCAUACGCCCUACGGGGGGAAAGCAGGGGAUCUUCGGACCUUGCGCUAAUAGAUGAGCCUAAGUCAGAUUAGCUAGUUGGUGGGGUAAAGGCCUACCAAGGCGACGAUCUGUAGCGGGUCUGAGAGGAUGAUCCGCCACACUGGGACUGAGACACGGCCCAGACUCCUACGGGAGGCAGCAGUGGGGAAUAUUGGACAAUGGGCGAAAGCCUGAUCCAGCCAUGCCGCGUGUGUGAAGAAGGCCUUUUGGUUGUAAAGCACUUUAAGCGAGGAGGAGGCUACUUGGAUUAAUACUCUAGGAUAGUGGACGUUACUCGCAGAAUAAGCACCGGCUAACUCUGUGCCAGCAGCCGCGGUAAUACAGAGGGUGCGAGCGUUAAUCGGAUUUACUGGGCGUAAAGCGUGCGUAGGCGGCUUUUUAAGUCGGAUGUGAAAUCCCUGAGCUUAACUUAGGAAUUGCAUUCGAUACUGGGAAGCUAGAGUAUGGGAGAGGAUGGUAGAAUUCCAGGUGUAGCGGUGAAAUGCGUAGAGAUCUGGAGGAAUACCGAUGGCGAAGGCAGCCAUCUGGCCUAAUACUGACGCUGAGGUACGAAAGCAUGGGGAGCAAACAGGAUUAGAUACCCUGGUAGUCCAUGCCGUAAACGAUGUCUACUAGCCGUUGGGGCCUUUGAGGCUUUAGUGGCGCAGCUAACGCGAUAAGUAGACCGCCUGGGGAGUACGGUCGCAAGACUAAAACUCAAAUGAAUUGACGGGGGCCCGCACAAGCGGUGGAGCAUGUGGUUUAAUUCGAUGCAACGCGAAGAACCU
This 918-nucleotide ribosomal RNA is filed under the name uncultured Gammaproteobacteria bacterium. RNAcentral's name for it is "bacterial SSU rRNA". It matches the Rfam family "Bacterial small subunit ribosomal RNA", at positions 60 to 971 of the family's 1533-position model. Lineage: Bacteria; Pseudomonadati; Pseudomonadota; Gammaproteobacteria. The record is from RNAcentral.